This 784-nucleotide long non-coding RNA is filed under the name Homo sapiens (human). RNAcentral describes it as "HSALNT0321473". Lineage: Eukaryota; Metazoa; Chordata; Mammalia; Primates; Hominidae. The record is from RNAcentral.
AUUCCUCCUUGCAGUGCUGGGGGAAGCUGUUUGUGUCUCUAUAGACGUGGAGAGAACAGGAACACAUGUUUUCUGUACUACAUGGCUAAUGCAGGAUACAGGGCUGCAGUUGUUGGGUGAAGCUUUGCCCGAAAGUUGAGAAAUGGGUGCAGCGCAAGGAUGCAGAACAGGAGUCGCAGACCAAAGCAGAGAUCCAGGAUAUGAAGCAAGAGUUAUCCGCGGUCAAUAUGAUGGACAAGUUUGCCAGAUCUGCCAGGCUGGAAAGAAAGAUCAACAAGAUGAUGAAUAAGCUCAAAACUCAUGUGAAAGUACAGACAGCUCAAUCAGGAAUGCUAAAAUGGGUUAUAAGUGUUGCUUUCUACAAAUUGCCAGGUACCGUGAUCAGGCUAUAAGGCAGUCUUGUGGGGUUAUCCAUUACUUGACAGGGUCUCGCUCUGUUGCCCAGGCUGGAGUGCAGUGGGCCAUCUAGGCUCACUGUAGCCUCUGCCACCCGGGUUCAAGUGACCUUCCCACUUCAGCCUCACAAGUAGCUGGCACUAAAAGUGCUUGCCACCAUACCCGGAUAAUUUUCAUAUUUUUUGUAAAGACAGGGUCUCACCAUGUUGCCCAGACUGGUCGCGUUUUCUUCCUCUGUUUAAAAUGGCAUUUGUUGGACAAGCAUUUGUAUAGUACUAUGUACUUACUUGAAGCUGUUAAUUUUUCAUUACAAUGUUUUGUAAAUUUCUUCAUGAGGCCAUAAUGCAUUGUUUUGUGCUCAAAUUUUGCAUUGUAUUUAAAGCAUUCA